This 426-nucleotide ribosomal RNA is filed under the name uncultured bacterium. RNAcentral's name for it is "bacterial SSU rRNA". It matches the Rfam family "Bacterial small subunit ribosomal RNA", at positions 354 to 796 of the family's 1533-position model. The record is from RNAcentral.
GUGAGGAAUUUUCCGCAAUGGGCGAAAGCCUGACGGAGCAAUGCCGCGUGAAGGAUGAAGGCCUAUGGGUUGUAAACUUCUUUUCUCAGAAAAGAAUUAUGACGGUAUCUGAGGAAUAAGCAUCGGCUAACUCUGUGCCAGCAGCCGCGGUAAGACAGAGGAUGCAAGCGUUAUCCGGAAUGAUUGGGCGUAAAGCGUCUGUAGGUUGUUUAAAAAGUAUUCUGUCAAAGAUUAGGGCUUAACCCUAGAUAGGCAGAAUAAACUUUUAAGCUAUAGUUUGGUAGAGGCAGAGGGAAUUCCCGGUGGAGCGGUGAAAUGCGUAGAUAUCGUGAGGAACACCAAAGGCGAAGGCACUCUGCUGGGCCAAUACUAACACUGAGAGACGAAAGCGAGGGGAGCAAAUGGGAUUAGAAACCCUAGUAGUCC